CAGGUUUACCUGUGUGACUGCGUACCUUUUGUAUAAUGGGUCAGCGACUUAUAUUCUGUAGCAAGGUUAACCGAAUAGGGGAGCCGCAGGGAAACCGAGUCUUAAUUGGGCGUUAAGUUGCAGGGUAUAGACCCGAAACCCGGUGAUCUAGCCAUGGGCAGGUUGAAGGUUGGGUAACACUAACUGGAGGACCGAACCGACUAAUGUUGAAAAAUUAGCGGAUGACCUGUGGCUGGGGGUGAAAGGCCAAUCAAACCGGGAGAUAGCUGGUUCUCCCCGAAAGCUAUUUAGGUAGCGCCUCGUGAAUUCAUCUCCGGGGGUAGAGCACUGUUUCGGCUAGGGGGCCAUCCCGGCUUACCAACCCGAUGCAAACUGCGAAUACCGGAGAAUGUUAUCACGGGAGACACACGGCGGGUGCUAACGUCCGUCGUGAAGAGGGAAACAACCCAGACCGCCAGCUAAGGUCCCAAAGUCAUGGUUAAGUGGGAAACGAUGUGGGAAGGCCCAGACAGCCAGGAUGUUGGCUUAGAAGCAGCCAUCAUUUAAAGAAAGCGUAAUAGCUCACUGGUCGAGUCGGCCUGCGCGGAAGAUGUAACGGGGCUAAACCAUGCACCGAAGCUGCGGCAGCGACGCUGAUGCGUUGUUGGGUAGGGGAGCGUUCUGUAAGCCUGUGAAGGUGUGUCGUGAGGCAUGCUGGAGGUAUCAGAAGUGCGAAUGCUGACAUAAGUAACGAUAAAGCGGGUGAAAAGCCCGCUCGCCGGAAGACCAAGGGUUCCUGUCCAACGUUAAUCGGGGCAGGGUGAGUCGACCCCUAAGGCGAGGCCGAAAGGCGUAGUCGAUGGGAAACGGGUUAAUAUUCCCGUACUUGGUGUUACUGCGAAGGGGGGACGGAGAAGGCUAUGUUGGCCGGGCGACGGUUGUCCCGGUUUAAGCGUGUAGGUGUGUGUUCCAGGUAAAUCCGGUUCACUUUAACACUGAGGCGUGAUGACGAGGCACUACGGUGCUGAAGCAACAAAUGCCCUGCUUCCAGGAAAAGCCUCUAAGCAUCAGGUAACAUCAAAUCGUACCCCAAACCGACACAGGUGGUCAGGUAGAGAAUACCAAGGCGCUUGAGAGAACUCGGGUGAAGGAACUAGGCAAAAUGGUGCCGUAACUUCGGGAGAAGGCACGCUGACAC
RNAcentral lists this ribosomal RNA (1177 nucleotides) under Salmonella enterica. RNAcentral describes it as "partial 23S ribosomal RNA". It matches the Rfam family "Bacterial large subunit ribosomal RNA", at positions 580 to 1757 of the family's 2925-position model. The record is from RNAcentral. Lineage: Bacteria; Pseudomonadati; Pseudomonadota; Gammaproteobacteria; Enterobacterales; Enterobacteriaceae.